AUACGUAGGUGACAAGCGUUAUCCGGAUUUACUGGGCGUAAAGGGCGUGUAGGCGGUCUUGCAAGUCAGAAGUGAAAUUCCUGAGCUCAACUCGGGCGCUGCUUCUGAAACUGCAGGACUUGAGUGCUGGAGGGGAUAGCGGAAUUCCUAGUGGAGCGGUAAAAUGCGCAGAUAUUAGGAAGAACACCGGUGGCGAAGGCGUCUAUCUGUACAGUAAGUGACACUGAGGCGCGAAAGCGUGGGGAGCAAACAGGAUUAGAUCCCCUGGUAGUCCACGCUGUAAACGAUGAAUACUAGGUGUAGGGGGUAUCGACUCCCUCUGUGCCGCAGUUAACACAAUAAGUAUUCCGCCUGGGGAGUACGGCCGCAAGGUUGAAACUCAAAGGAAUUGACGGGG
This 397-nucleotide ribosomal RNA is filed under the name uncultured bacterium. Its description in RNAcentral is "partial 16S ribosomal RNA". It matches the Rfam family "Bacterial small subunit ribosomal RNA", at positions 523 to 918 of the family's 1533-position model. The record is from RNAcentral.